UUGUUAAUUGUUGACAGCUACUCUCAUUGGUUGAAAGUUUUUCCAACCCAAAAUAAAACAGCUUUUACUAUGAUCAAGCAUUGUAAGGUUUUGUUUUCUAAAUUUGGUGUUCCUGAUAUCUUCUAUGCUGAUAAUGUUCCCUAUAACAGUAUAGAAUUUAGAAAUUUUACUAAAUCAUGGAAUUUUUAUUUGGAGUUUUCUAUCCUUUUUUAUCACCAGUCAAAUAGUUUUGCAGAGAAGUAUGAAUGAAUAUCUCUAAAAACAUGCUUAAAAAAAUUUAUAAUGUUUUCGAUGCAUCGAUUUAUAUCGAAUAUCCCUAGUCCUGUCGAGAGAUAUAAAAAAGAAGAAGAUAGCACAGUGAAAAAAAAUAUGUUAGCAUUAAAACCUGAUAAUGAAAGUGCUAAUAAAUAAAACUACUAGUAAAUAAAUAUAGUUUUAAUAAAACAUAUAAAAAAAAAAGAAAUUGAACAAUAAACAACGAAACAACAUGAAACAGUUGAUUGACUUGUAUGCAGAAUACAGGAAUGAAGUUUGUACUUUCAAAGUAAAAAUGGUUAAAAUUAUGAAGCUGAAGAAAGCCACAGAGUUUAAAAAUAUUAGCAUCCAAAUAACACCAACAUUAUGAAUUAGUGAAAGGUAGUAGGAAGAAGCUUCAGAACAUAUGCGGAUAACCAGAAUAAAACAGGAAACAGCAGAAACAAGUGAUGCGUACUAUUUAUAGUAAUAAUUAAGUUCGGUGGGUGUACAAGAAGAGAAGUUGCCAAUUCGAAAAACUUAUGAGAAUGGGGACUUGGUUGGAAUGCAGUACAUUAUUAUGAAACCCUAGCAUUAUUGAUACAUGCAUGGCCACAAGAGAAAUAGGGGAAUUGUUGCAAGAACCCAAAAAAACCAUAUAAAUUGAUGAGUCCUGUUUAUUCACAAACGAUAUACAAUUGAGGACGCAUCACUAGGUGUUUGUGGGAAUUUGUCAAGAGGAUGGGAAAUGUUUUUGUUUGCCGUGCCUUUCAGGAGAAAAAAAGUGUGGCUUUAUAUUAUUGGCCAGUACUUAGAACCCGGAACUACUAUUAUGUCUGAUGUCUGGAAUUCCAAUACCAAAACUACAAAAGUAGAAGAUGAAUUUUAUACACUUCACUAUUAAUAAGGAAACUGGAGCACAUACAUAAAGAGCAAAGAUAAGGGAAGAAAGAGAACAGGAAAAGGCCUCUAACUUCAACUGAAUGCAGUGAAUGCAGCAGUGGAAAUUAAAUUAUUACUAAAGAAAAAAAUUUUCUUGCUUUAUCACAAUACCCAGUUGAAGUAGUAACUUGAAACUGAUUUGCCAACUAAGAUGUUAAAAUGCAAAUAGUAGAAAACAAGAUUAAUCGCAAUGAGUAUUUGCUCUUUGGAUGGAUCGAUAUGACUUGAUAAUCUUACUAAUCUCCUUUUAUUCAAUAUGUAGUAAGAAAGCUGCAAAUAAUUAUUUGUAUAGCUUCAGUACAAAUGGUAUUAUUUUGGUGUGAGCGACCCUUAACAUAUAGAGAUAUGAAAAAUAGAUGUUGGCCGAUUCUUGGACUUACACUAUAUUCACAUAAAAAAUCACGAAAAUCGAUCCAGUUAAUUUGGAGGAGUUUGGCAACAAAUACGACUACACGAGAAUUUUAUGUAUUAGAUUAUACAAUCUUUAUGAAUAUACCUUUAUUGGAUUCGAUGUCAUACUUUUAGAUACAUGGGUGAAUAUAUAUUGAGAAGUGCGCUCUGAGGUCGAGAGUUGGUUUCCUUCGAUUAAUUUCCUUCCAGACUCCAAAAUACAAGAACAAUGAAAAUGAAUUGACCGGCUGACUUAAGAAAUGGUUAAAAUGGACUGGAGAAGUCAUUAAAACGAUAGAUAGGAGCAAAAAAUGGAUUCACUAUGUAAAAAUCAAGUUCACUUCCUCCAAGACCUCCAUAUCACAAGGAAACCGAAAAAGAAUUGACCGGUUGGCUUAAGAAAUGGUUAAAAUGGAUUAGAGAAGUCCUUAUCACGAUAGAUGAGAGCAAAAAAUGGAUUCACUAUGUAAAUUUGUACCGUUUGAAGGUGUUUUGGAGGUUAGUAUAUUUCCUGUGAUCUCAUAUUUUUAUUCUUAGUUCUUUCAUUAGCUCUAUUCACCAAAGUUUUUUCUCAGUUUUCAAUGGUGUAGUGUACAUGUCUUCAUUCUUAUAAUAUAUACAUAUCAAUUCAGCUGUAUCUUGUCUCAAUUUUUAUUGAUUUUUGUUUUAAUUAUUUUCCAAUUUCUAUAUUUUUCAAUUUUCUUUCGAAUGUUCAAUUAUCAUUGGGUUAAGAUAUGUUUUCUCUUUAUUGUCAUAUAUUCUGCUGUGUAGGUUAUAGUUGGUACUGUUGUAAAUUUAUUUGUUCUUUUACCUGGUUUUCUGUCUUCUGUUGGUACCAUACUAAGGUAUCCUAAUGUCGUUAUUCUCCCUGAAGUUUUAGCUUCAGAUUUGGUUUCUUUUGAUUUACAUUUAUUAUUUCAACUUUAGUUUUGUCAUUUUUCUUAUUUCUAAGGAUCAGACAUCCAUUAAUUUUUGGAUUCUAUUUUUAAAAUUUACUAUAACAUUAUAUCAUCUGCAAAUAUCAGCAUUUUUAUAGGUUAUGUUUUUAUAUUCAAUUCUAUUCUGAUCUUCACAUUUUUUUAAUAUAUUUGAAUCUAUCUCUCCUAGGAGUGACAAUCCCAAAUGAUCUUGCGGGCCAAGAAAAUAGAAAAAAAAGCCAAUCUGUAUACAAAUAAUACAAUAAGUUAUUGUGUUGAUAUUUCGGCGAGCCACAGAUAAAAUUAUAUUAGUAUUAAUAUAAAUAAAUACCAAAAACUUGGGAGUUAACAUUUUAAACAGAAUUAAUCAUUAUUAUAAAAUAACUUGUAGUAUUUAAUAAUUUCCCUAUUUAGUCAUUUAGUGAGAUAUUUGUUUCUCGAAUUUUCACUAAGCUUUUGUAAAUCAGCAAAAAUGCUUGUAUUUUCAGAUUUCUCAAAAGUGAAUACAAUACUAUUUGCUCGUAUAUGUUUUUUUCAGAUUAGAUUAUUAUUUUUUACUUUUGUUGGGAUUCCGCGUUUUCAGGCAUUCCAGAAUAGACUAUUGGAACAAUAAUAAUUUUUUUUUAAAUGUUUGAUAAAUUUUUAAACCGCCAAACUCUCCCAGGCAAGCAGCGGGUUGGCCAUCCCUAGCCAAAGAACACCUCUGAGAUGAAGAGGAGGCGCUCCAUUAUGUUAGAAACAAAGAAAUCUAAACAAAAUGAGUAUUUACAUAUUGUAGUCUAUGAGUUCUUAGCCUAACAUAGAAAAGAAUAAUUUAAUAAAAUAAAACCAAUAUUAUAUCAUUAUAAAACCAGUAUAAACAAAGUGACUCAUUUUAUUUUCUCAGCAUGUUGAUACUAACGCAACGGUUGUAAUAAAAACAUUUUCCUACUUUCCUCACAUCGAUGGUCAAUAUAUAUUUGCCUUUAUCUGGCAAUAGAAAAUAAUUGAAAAUUGUCAAAUAUUGUAGGGGAUAUCUCGUUUAAAAUAUACAAUUUUUUUAUAUUCUUUGGAACUACAUUUGGCAUUUGCUGGUCUGUCGACGAUAUAAUAUAACCAAAUUGCUGCUACUCUAUUUCACAGGUUAACAUAUUUACGUGUGUACCCUGUAUUUAACUAUUGUAUAUUGUAGAAAGUGAAGGUAAUAA
Molecule: long non-coding RNA, 3670 nt
Organism: Diorhabda sublineata
Lineage: Eukaryota; Metazoa; Arthropoda; Insecta; Coleoptera; Chrysomelidae
Exons: 7
Source: RefSeq, a predicted model, not a curated record